RNAcentral lists this RNase P RNA (218 nucleotides) under Veillonella sp. RNAcentral's name for it is "partial RNase P RNA component class A". It matches the Rfam family "Bacterial RNase P class A", at positions 147 to 367 of the family's 367-position model. Rfam says of the family: Ribonuclease P (RNase P) is a ubiquitous endoribonuclease, found in archaea, bacteria and eukarya as well as chloroplasts and mitochondria. Its best characterised activity is the generation of mature 5'-ends of tRNAs by cleaving the 5'-leader elements of precursor-tRNAs. The record is from RNAcentral. Lineage: Bacteria; Bacillati; Bacillota; Negativicutes; Veillonellales; Veillonellaceae.
GGUAAGGGUGGAAAGGUGAGGUAAGAGCUCACCAGCAGUCUGGUAACAGGCUGGCUCGGUAAACCCCAUCCGGAGCAAGACCGAAUAGGGAAGGGUUAACGGUGGUCCCGCCUACCUUCCGGGUUGUGUCGCUCGAGCGUGCAGGCGACUGUACGCCUAGAAAGAUAAUCGUCACCGCGUAAGCGGAACAGAACUCGGCUUAAUGAUUGCUUGCUUCU